Molecule: ribosomal RNA, 932 nt
Filed under: Nocardia sp. S07-11
Lineage: Bacteria; Bacillati; Actinomycetota; Actinomycetes; Mycobacteriales; Nocardiaceae
Description: bacterial SSU rRNA
Rfam family: Bacterial small subunit ribosomal RNA
Source: RNAcentral
CUUACACAUGCAAGUCGAGCGGUAAGGCCCUUCGGGGUACACGAGCGGCGAACGGGUGAGUAACACGUGGGUGAUCUGCCUUGCACUCUGGGAUAAGCCUGGGAAACUGGGUCUAAUACCGGAUAUGAGCCUGGACUGCAUGGUCUGGGUUGGAAAGGUUUACUGGUGCGAGAUGGGCCCGCGGCCUAUCAGCUUGUUGGUGGGGUAACGGCCUACCAAGGCGACGACGGGUAGCCGACCUGAGAGGGUGACCGGCCACACUGGGACUGAGACACGGCCCAGACUCCUACGGGAGGCAGCAGUGGGGAAUAUUGCACAAUGGGCGAAAGCCUGAUGCAGCGACGCCGCGUGAGGGAUGACGGCCUUCGGGUUGUAAACCUCUUUUGACAGGGACGAAGCGCAAGUGACGGUACCUGUAGAAGAAGCACCGGCCAACUACGUGCCAGCAGCCGCGGUAAUACGUAGGGUGCGAGCGUUGUCCGGAAUUACUGGGCGUAAAGAGCUUGUAGGCGGUUUGUCGCGUCGAUUGUGAAAACUUGCAGCUCAACUGCAAGCUUGCAGUCGAUACGGGCAGACUAGAGUACUUCAGGGGAGACUGGAAUUCCUGGUGUAGCGGUGAAAUGCGCAGAUAUCAGGAGGAACACCGGUGGCGAAGGCGGGUCUCUGGGAAGUAACUGACGCUGAGAAGCGAAAGCGUGGGUAGCGAACAGGAUUAGAUACCCUGGUAGUCCACGCCGUAAACGGUGGGUACUAGGUGUGGGUUUCCUUCCACGGGAUCCGUGCCGUAGCUAACGCAUUAAGUACCCCGCCUGGGGAGUACGGCCGCAAGGCUAAAACUCAAAGGAAUUGACGGGGGCCCGCACAAGCGGCGGAGCAUGUGGAUUAAUUCGAUGCAACGCGAAGAACCUUACCUGGGUUUGACAUACACCGGA